GGGGGCGAUCGGAUUUGACUGGGUCAUCGUCGAUCAGGGUGGCGUGUCGUGGUUGAUCAGUUGGCCACGUAAAAAGCUGAUCACACAAUAACUGCUAAUCCGCAGUACUCUCUGGCUGCCUAGUAAUAGGCGUCACUGAACAAGGAAUCCCCGUCUGAGGAGUCCGAAGUUCAGUUGCAAAUUCAGACUGGCACUUGCCCAUUGAUCGCUACGGCAAGUGUGAGACAAGUUGUGAUCUAGUGACGGACGGUUUUGUCUGUUGAGCCACGUCGUCGCGAAUUCAAUCAUCAGACUACACACGUAGAAGCUCUGGUUAAGAGUCCACAGGACGGGGGUUCGAUUCCCCCCGCCUCCAUAU
This is a non-coding RNA of 358 nucleotides. It matches the Rfam family "transfer-messenger RNA". From Rfam's summary of the family: Bacterial tmRNA, also known as 10Sa RNA or SsrA, is named for its dual tRNA and mRNA-like properties. The record is from Rfam.